GCCUUCAUAGUUAAAUGGAUAUAACAAGCCCCUCCUAAGGGCUAGUUGUUGGUUCGAUUCCAACUGAGGGUG
This 72-nucleotide transfer RNA is filed under the name Clostridiales bacterium. RNAcentral's name for it is "tRNA-Arg". It matches the Rfam family "tRNA". From Rfam's summary of the family: Transfer RNA (tRNA) molecules are approximately 80 nucleotides in length. Their secondary structure includes four short double-helical elements and three loops (D, anti-codon, and T loops). The record is from RNAcentral. Lineage: Bacteria; Bacillati; Bacillota; Clostridia; Eubacteriales. RNAcentral also lists the same sequence under 1 other name.